RNAcentral lists this ribosomal RNA (468 nucleotides) under uncultured bacterium. RNAcentral describes it as "partial 16S ribosomal RNA". It matches the Rfam family "Bacterial small subunit ribosomal RNA", at positions 28 to 507 of the family's 1533-position model. The record is from RNAcentral.
GACGAACGCUGGCGGCGUGCUUAACACAUGCAAGUCGAACGGAAAGGCCCUGCUUUUGUGGGGUGCUCGAGUGGCGAACGGGUGAGUAACACGUGAGUAACCUGCCCUUGACUUUGGGAUAACUUCAGGAAACUGGGGCUAAUACCGGAUAGGAGCUCCUGCUGCAUGGUGGGGGUUGGAAAGUUUCGGCGGUUGGGGCUGGACUCGCGGCUUAUCAGCUUGUUGGUGGGGUAGUGGUUUACCACGGCUUUGACGGGUAGCCGGCCUGAGAGGGUGAACGGGCACCUUGCGACUGCGAUAGGGACCAGUCGGCUACGUGACGCAGUAGUGGGGAAUCUUGCGCAAUGGGGGGAAGUGUGAGGCAGCAACGCCGCGUGCGGGAUGACGUCUUUCGGGUUGAAAACCGCUGUCGACUUUGCUGUAGCGUGAUUGACGGUAACUGGUCAAGAAGCAACGGCUAACUACGUG